AUACGUAGGGGGCAAGCGUUAUCCGGAAUUAUUGGGCGUAAAGAGUACGUAGGUGGCUACCUAAGCACGGGGUUUAAGGCUAUGGCUUAACCAUAGUUCGCCUUGUGAACUGGGCUGCUUGAGUGCAGGAGAGGAAAGCGGAAUUCCUAGUGUAGCGGUGAAAUGCGUAGAUAUUAGGAGGAACACCAGUGGCGAAGGCGGCUUUCUGGACUGUAACUGACACUGAGGUACGAAAGCGUGGGGAGC
Molecule: ribosomal RNA, 246 nt
Filed under: uncultured bacterium
Lineage: Bacteria
Description: partial 16S ribosomal RNA
Rfam family: Bacterial small subunit ribosomal RNA
Source: RNAcentral